RNAcentral lists this long non-coding RNA (925 nucleotides) under Medicago truncatula (barrel medic). RNAcentral's name for it is "long non-coding RNA (MTRU_LNC008630)". The record is from RNAcentral. Lineage: Eukaryota; Viridiplantae; Streptophyta; Magnoliopsida; Fabales; Fabaceae.
UUGUAGGUAUUGACUUUAUUGAGUUGUUUCUUCUACUUCUUCGGCAGAUAAAGGCAUAAAAUGAUCUUCUGAACCAUCUUUCUCCAUAGCCCUUAUUUGUCGAAGCAAUUAAGUGUCCUUAUGAAGCGCCGGGCAGCGAUGUUGUGGGAGAACCACCACUUUCUCAAUAGCUAUUUCGGUCUCCAACAUAACUUGAGAGGGGAUCUCUGAGACAUUCGUUUCCGAUUGUGUUUCGUUGACUAUUUUCUCCUCGAAAAUAUGAUUAUGGAUCGGUUACUCUUGUAUAAAAUUGUUCCGAGCGGGUUAUGCUUGGGACACAUAUUGCUUAGAAUUUGACUGAGAUGUAACUGGUAUCAAAAUAGGUUCCUCCUCAAUUGAAACCUCUUCGUUCUUUAGUUCUUAAAGUGUAGGUUCAUAAGUCACAAUAACAUGAUCAUUCAACGUGUGUUGGACCUCCGCCACUAGAGCCUGAGUUAUUGUUGGAUCAGUUUGCUUUGAUGUCCCGACUUCAACCUCUUUCUCACGAGGUAUAUAUUGAUGUGUUACCUUUUUUGUAGAUGUAAGUUAUGUUUGCUUCUUUCCUUGAUCAAUUUUUUCCAUUGGUUUAUUUAGAUGCACCCACACGCCGUUCGACACGUUAUGGCCAAUAUGAUUGCAAUGGUGAUAGAGCGGUAGUUUGUCAUAUUGAACCUCUACAUCAAAUAUGUAACCGUCCCGUUCCACCGUGAUCUCAUAAAAGAGACGUCUCGAUAUAUCCAUAUCCACCAAAAUAUGUGCAUAGUGCCCAAAAACUCAGUUCUUUGAUAUAUAGUAUUUUGAAAUUUUUCAAGAGAGAUAUUGUACCAAAAUUCAUUGAAAUCCUAGAAAUUAGCUCGUUGUUACUUCUGAUCAUCGUCUUGGGUAUAAGAUCUCUGGUUUAACUUAG